GGCAACGCUGCUUCCUAAGAAAGUUUUAAUUGUCAGUCUUCAAGCACAGUCCCUUUGUAUUCCUGCCAGAACUCUCAUGUAUGUCUGUGCUUGCUUGGGUAGCUGCAUAGGAAAUGAAGACUGUUAAUGAGUUUCUUCUUUUGUCAGACUCAUGUACUUCCAAAGAGCAAAAAAUCAGACAGACUACAGGUGCUUGUUCUGCCAGUUGCUCUUUCUUCAGAUGGUGAUCUCAGAAAACUUGGAAGUGCUGCUCAUUUUAGCUGACACAAGAUUCAGUGCUUUUUGAGUUGUAUCUAUGCUCAACAAUUCUUAAUGUUUGAAAUGGAUAAAAGAUAUUUCCUGAUGAAUCAUCAAAUAAAUUUAGCUUAAGAUUUGCCAGAAAAAUUCACAUCUGGAUUCUAACCAUCCUUAGAAAUUUUUAGCACCAAAAUUGAAUGCAUAGUCUAAAAUGCAAAACUCAACUAAUUUCAGCCAGAGUCUGUUAAUAUGUACUGUCAAGGAAUACAUUCUCUUUGUUGUGUUGCU
Numida meleagris (helmeted guineafowl) is the source of this 525-nucleotide long non-coding RNA. RefSeq lists it as uncharacterized. Lineage: Eukaryota; Metazoa; Chordata; Aves; Galliformes; Numididae. The record is from RefSeq and is a predicted model, not a curated record. The transcript is spliced from 3 exons.